UAUGCCUCAGUGGUAGAGCGCUUGCCUAGCAUGCAUGAAGCUCUGGGUUCGAUUCUCAGUA
Molecule: transfer RNA, 61 nt
Filed under: Dipodomys ordii (Ord's kangaroo rat)
Lineage: Eukaryota; Metazoa; Chordata; Mammalia; Rodentia; Heteromyidae
Rfam family: tRNA
About the family: Transfer RNA (tRNA) molecules are approximately 80 nucleotides in length. Their secondary structure includes four short double-helical elements and three loops (D, anti-codon, and T loops).
Source: Rfam by way of RNAcentral